This 66-nucleotide transfer RNA is filed under the name Dolichosciara megumiae. RNAcentral describes it as "tRNA-Leu". The record is from RNAcentral. Lineage: Eukaryota; Metazoa; Arthropoda; Insecta; Diptera; Sciaridae.
UUUAAUAUGGCAGACCAGUGCAAUGAAUUUAAGCUUCAUAUAGAAAAUUAUAUAUUUUUAUUGAAA